This 293-nucleotide ribosomal RNA is filed under the name uncultured bacterium. RNAcentral describes it as "partial 16S ribosomal RNA". It matches the Rfam family "Bacterial small subunit ribosomal RNA", at positions 775 to 1067 of the family's 1533-position model. The record is from RNAcentral.
GGAUUAGAUACCCUGGUAGUCCACGCCGUAAACGAUGUCUACUAGCCGUUGGGGUCCUUGAGGCCUUAGUGGCGCAGCUAACGCAGUAAGUAGACCGCCUGGGGAGUACGGCCGCAAGGUUAAAACUCAAAUGAAUUGACGGGGGCCCGCACAAGCGGUGGAGCAUGUGGUUUAAUUCGAAGCAACGCGAAGAACCUUACCAGGUCUUGACAUCCAGAAAACUUAGCAGAGAUGCUUUGGUGCCUUCGGGAAUUCUGUGACAGGUGCUGCAUGGCUGUCGUCAGCUCGUGCCG